UUAUAUGUGCAGUUGAAGAUGGCGCUGCAUUUGAACUGAUGUAAGGAUUACAUUGUUCAAUUAAAUGGAACCGCUUGAAACGGUCGUACUGCCUACUGGAUCACUGACUUGAUUAGAUCG
Octopus sinensis (East Asian common octopus) is the source of this 120-nucleotide long non-coding RNA. RefSeq lists it as uncharacterized. NCBI's taxonomy places the organism in Eukaryota, Metazoa, Mollusca, Cephalopoda, Octopoda, Octopodidae. The transcript is spliced from 3 exons. The record is from RefSeq and is a predicted model, not a curated record.